GACGAACGCUGGCGGCGUGCUUAACACAUGCGAGUCGAACGAUGAAGCGGGUGCUUGCACUCGUGGAUUAGUGGCGAACGGGCGAGUAACACGUGAGUAACCUGUCCUUUUCUUUGGGAUAACGGCUGGAAACGGCUGCUAAUACUGGAUAUUCAGGCUGCAUCGCAUGGUGUGGUUUGGAAAGGUUUUUUCUGGGAUUGGGUGGGCUCGCGGCCUAUCAGCUUGUUGGUGGGGUGAUGGCUUACCAAGGCUUUGACGGGUAGCCGGCCUGAGAGGGUGGUCGGUCGCACUGGGACUGAGAUACGGCCCAGACUCCUACGGGAGGCAGCAGUGGGGAAUAUUGCACAAUGGACGAAAGUUUGAUGCAGCGACGCCGCGUGGAGGGUGUAGGCCUUCGGGUUGUGAACUCCUUUUUCUCGCGAAAAAGGCACAGUUUUGGCUGUGUUGAUGGUAGUGGGGGAAGAAGCGCCGGCUAACUACGUG
Molecule: ribosomal RNA, 483 nt
Filed under: uncultured bacterium
Lineage: Bacteria
Description: partial 16S ribosomal RNA
Rfam family: Bacterial small subunit ribosomal RNA
Source: RNAcentral